AGAGUUUGAUCCUGGCUCAGGACGAACGCUGGCGGCGUGCCUAACACAUGCAAGUCGAACGGGGAUAGAUUGAAGGUUUACCUGAUAUCUAUUCUAGUGGCGGACGGGUGAGUAACGCGUGAGCAACCUGCCCUUGAGUGGGGGACAACAUUGGGAAACCGAUGCUAAUACCGCAUAAAAUAUACUAAUGGCAUCAUUGGUAUAUCAAAGGAGCAAUCCGCUUAAGGAUGGACUCGCGUCUGAUUAGAUAGUUGGUGAGGUAACGGCUCACCAAGUCGACGAUCAGUAGCCGGACUGAGAGGUUGAUCGGCCACACUGGAACUGAGACACGGUCCAGACACCUACGGGUGGCAGCAGUAGGGAAUAUUGCGCAAUGGGCGAAAGCCUGACGCAGCCAUGCCGCGUGGAUGAUGAAGGCCUUCGGGUCGUAAAGUCCUUUUCUGAGGGAAGAACUAUUGGGGGAGGAAAUGCCUUCGGUUUGACGGUACCUCAGGAAUAAGCAACGGCUAACUCCGUGCCAGCAGCCGCGGUAAUACGGAGGUUGCAAGCGUUGUUCGGAAUGACUGGGCGUAAAGGGAGCGCAGGCGGCCAGGUCAGUCGGAAGUGAAAGCCCGGGGCUUAACCCCGGAAUUGCUUUGGAUACUGCCUGGCUUGAGUAUGCGAUAGGAAAGUGGAAUUCCAGGUGUAGCGGUGAAAUGCGUAGAUAUCUGGAGGAACACCGGUGGCGAAAGCGGCUUUCUGGCGCAUAACUGACGCUGAGGCUCGAAAGCGUGGGGAGCGAACGGGAUUAGAUACCCCGGUAGUCCACGCCGUAAACGUUGUGCACUGGGUGUGGGAGGUAUCGACCCCCCUCCGUCCCGAAGCUAACGCACUAAGUGCCACCGCCUGGGGAGUACGGUUGCAAGACUGAAACUCAAAGGAAUUGACGGGGGCCCGCACAAGCGGUGGAGCAUGUGGUUUAAUUCGAGGCAACGCGAAGAACCUUACCCAGGCUUGACAUCCCGAGACCGCCACGGAAACAUGGUUUCCCCUUCGGGGGCUCGGUGACAGGUGUUGCAUGCCUGUCGUCAGCUCGUGUCGUGAGAUGUUGGGUUAAGUCCCGCAACGAGCGCAACCCUCGUCCUUAGUUACCAGCGGUUCGGCCGGGCAUUCUAGGGAGACUGCCGGUGAUAAACCGGAGGAAGGUGGGGGGGACGUCAAGUCAUCACGGCCCCUAUGCCUGGGGCGACACACGUGCUACAAUGGCCGGUACAAAGAGAUGCAACGUCGCGAGGCAGAGCUAAUCUCAAAAAGCCGGUCUCAGUUCGGAUUGGAGUCUGCAACUCGACUCCACGAAGUCGGAAUCGCUAGUAAUCGCGUAUCAGCCACGACGCGGUGAAUACGUUCCCGGGCCUCGCACACACCGCCCGUCA
This 1412-nucleotide ribosomal RNA is filed under the name uncultured bacterium. RNAcentral describes it as "bacterial SSU rRNA". It matches the Rfam family "Bacterial small subunit ribosomal RNA". The record is from RNAcentral.